RNAcentral lists this ribosomal RNA (242 nucleotides) under uncultured Moryella sp. Its description in RNAcentral is "partial 16S ribosomal RNA". It matches the Rfam family "Bacterial small subunit ribosomal RNA", at positions 524 to 776 of the family's 1533-position model. The record is from RNAcentral. Lineage: Bacteria; Bacillati; Bacillota; Clostridia; Lachnospirales; Lachnospiraceae.
UACGUAGGGGGCAAGCGUUAUCCGGAUUUACUGGGUGUAAAGGGAGCGCAGAGUCUGAAGUGAAAUCCCGAGGCUUAACCACGGGACUGCUUUGGAAACUGUGCGACUUGAGUAUCGGAGGGGCAGGCGGAAUUCCUAGUGUAGCGGUGAAAUGCGUAGAUAUUAGGAAGAACACCGGUGGCGAAGGCGGCCUGCUGGACGAAAACUGACGUUGAGGCUCGAAGGCGUGGGGAGCAAACAGG